This 344-nucleotide transfer-messenger RNA is filed under the name Monoglobaceae. RNAcentral describes it as "Ructibacterium sp934454115 Standard tmRNA". It matches the Rfam family "transfer-messenger RNA". Rfam says of the family: Bacterial tmRNA, also known as 10Sa RNA or SsrA, is named for its dual tRNA and mRNA-like properties. Lineage: Bacteria; Bacillati; Bacillota; Clostridia; Monoglobales. The record is from RNAcentral. RNAcentral also lists the same sequence under 1 other name.
GGGGGUGUAAAGGUUUCGACGGGGUCGUAGAGACAUGAGGAGCGGGCCGCAAUGGGUAUUGCGUAAAAAACCCAAAUUUUAAAAUAAACGCUAGAAAUAACGUAGCACUCGCUGCCUAAUGGCAGCUGUCCCGCUUUGGUUACCGCAGCCAAAGCCGGGGCAUCAACCUUCGCGGUGAACGUGCGCCGGGCUUGCUUUGACCCGGCCAUGCAUCAAAAGCUACCAAACGGCAGAGUUUGUCUGUGGACUUUGCCGGGCGGGAAUUUUUCACCACAGACUACGCCCGUAGCCGCCUUGUGAGGAUACUUCUUCGGACGGGGGUUCAAUUCCCCCCACCUCCACCA